RNAcentral lists this non-coding RNA (45 nucleotides) under Schistosoma mansoni. Lineage: Eukaryota; Metazoa; Platyhelminthes; Trematoda; Strigeidida; Schistosomatidae. The record is from RNAcentral.
AACUAGCUGACGAGUCUCAAAUAGGAUGAAACUUGCGUCGUGGGU